RNAcentral lists this ribosomal RNA (792 nucleotides) under uncultured bacterium. RNAcentral's name for it is "bacterial SSU rRNA". It matches the Rfam family "Bacterial small subunit ribosomal RNA", at positions 8 to 795 of the family's 1533-position model. The record is from RNAcentral.
AGAGUUUGAUCCUGGCUCAGAUUGAACGCUGGCGGCAUGCCUUACACAUGCAAGUCGAACGGCAGCACGGGAGCAAUCCUGGUGGCGAGUGGCGAACGGGUGAGUAAUAUAUCGGAACGUGCCCAGUCGUGGGGGAUAACGUAGAGAAAUUUACGCUAAUACCGCAUACGAUCUAAGGAUGAAAGCGGGGGACCGUAAGGCCUCGCGCGAUUGGAGCGGCUGAUAUCAGAUUAGGUUGUUGGUGAGGUAAAAGCUCACCAAGCCGACGAUCUGUAGCUGGUUUGAGAGAACGACCAGCCACACUGGGACUGAGACACGGCCCAGACUCCUACGGGAGGCAGCAGUGGGGAAUUUUGGACAAUGGGCGAAAGCCUGAUCCAGCAAUGCCGCGUGCAGGAAGAAGGCCUUCGGGUUGUAAACUGCUUUUGUACGGAACGAAAAGGUCUGCCCUAAUACGGCGGGCCCAUGACGGUACCGUAAGAAUAAGCACCGGCUAACUACGUGCCAGCAGCCGCGGUAAUACGUAGGGUGCGAGCGUUAAUCGGAAUUACUGGGCGUAAAGCGUGCGCAGGCGGUUAUGUAAGACAGUUGUGAAAUCCCCGGGCUCAACCUGGGAAUUGCAUCUGUGACUGCAUAGCUAGAGUACGGUAGAGGGGGAUGGAAUUCCGCGUGUAGCAGUGAAAUGCGUAGAUAUGCGGAGGAACACCGAUGGCGAAGGCAAUCCCCUGGACCUGUACUGACGCUCAUGCACGAAAGCGUGGGGAGCAGACAGGAUUAGAUACCCUGGUAGUC